Molecule: long non-coding RNA, 2070 nt
Organism: Pygocentrus nattereri (red-bellied piranha)
Lineage: Eukaryota; Metazoa; Chordata; Actinopteri; Characiformes; Serrasalmidae
Source: Ensembl
CUCCCUCUGUCUCUCACGCUCUCUCAUCUCCCACUCCCUCUCUCUCUUUACAUAUAUUACCUAUUUCUCUCUUCCUUACUCUCCUCCUUGUUCUGUCUUUCUGUCUCUCUUUUACUAUCACUUUCUAUCUACUCUUGCUCUUUCUCAUUGUCUGUCAUUGCACUCUCUCUUUCUCUCUCACCCUCUCUCUUUUUUGCUCUAUCUUUCGCUUUCUUUCUCCUUUCGCUCUCUUUCAGCCUCACUUUCUCUUUCACUAUUAUUCUCUCUCUUCAGGCCCACAGUGCUGUGGAGUGAUGACAGUGUGGUGUGUUAUUUUGAGUCUCUCUCUCUCUCUCUCUCUCUCUCUCUCUCUCUCUCUCUCUCUCUCUCUCUCUCUCUCUCUCUCUCUCUCUCUCUCUCUCUCUCUCUCUCUCUCUCUCAGACAGGGUCGGGUAAAGUGGCAUGUUGUUUUGGACUGUAAGAUAAGAUGAUAGCGAGGCUCAGCCCGGCCCUCAGCCCGGCCCUCAGCCCAGCCCCGCUUCAGCUUCUGUAACCUCUCAUGGCCGCAGAGAGCAGCCAAUCAUGUGAACCUCUAAAAAUAGCCCCACCGUUUUUCCAUCUGAACAUGCAGGACUCUUGUUUUUCAUUAUUACUCGUUACGAACCGUCUCCCUGCUACUCCUCAUGUGCGUCACUCUGAUGAUCCAUGCAAACUACCUCACUUACACUCUCUCUGUUAGAGAGGCUGUCUUACUGGUGCUCAGUAUCAGUGUGGGCCAGUACCAGGAGAGAAUACUGGAUCGGGUCAUUAGCGGAUAAAAAAACGUGUCCUGGGUUGUCCUUUUACCCAAGAUGCACCGGGGCGCUGUCAGUGUGGCUCGGCCGUGUGCACGUGAUGAGGAGAAAGCACUCAUCCUCCGGUCUGUGCAGACAGACAUCCCUUCAUCCGCAGGAACAUGUGUAGCUACAUAUUUGGUCAGCAAGCAGUAUACAAUCACCCAUAUGUCCGGCUGGACACUGAAGGACGACCGACUGCUACCCACUUCAGACCAGCUGCCCAUACCCUGGCUGCCACCACCUGCCUUGGACUAGCUGCCCACCCUACACUGAUGUUCUCAUAGACUCCUAGUUAUUCCUAAUACCAAUAUUACUGCUAUUAACAUUAGUAGUAUAAUCACUUGUAGGUAGUUUUUCCUUGCCACUGUUGCCCCUGGCUUGCUCACCGGGGGGUUUCUGUACAUUCAGUCAUGUUAAAACUUUGUCUUUUCCGAAAUUCUGUAAAGCUGCUUUGUGACAACAUCGGUUGUAAAAAGCGCUAUACAAAUAAAUUUGAUUUGAUUUGAUUUGAUCUGUACGGACGACAUCAACACCACAGUCAAACUCAUCCCAGACUGGACUGACCAUGUCAGGUGUCGCUGCUCUCACGGCUCUUUCAGUGCGAUUUCGGAGAUCAUCCAGUUCUGUGGAACCAACGCUGAACACUCUGAGCUGCUGGAGCUUCACUGCCCAGGAAAAUCAGGCUGCACAGUUGACGGAUUCACUCUGAUAGACGUGGAGACCGCAGAACGCUUUCUGAUCAGGGGUCUCGUCUCCUCUCAGACUGAAGGGAGCCAGUCAGAAACUCUAUAACCCCCUCUUACAGUUGGAGUGUGAUUGGUUCCUCUGCGCCUCAUGGUUGUAAAAAAUAUGCCGCUUUGAAAAUUGGAUGAAUCUUUUUGAAUCACCCUGUAUUUACAGGGCUACAGUGACCAACACCGUAUCAAAUAAUAUCAGUCCUGUGCCUUCCAUUCUUUCCAGGAGACUUUAGUUUUCCAAAGAAAACUCCAAAGUUCAGUCUUAGAAGUUGAUCAUUUUCUGACGUAAUCAAACACAUUCAGUGAUGUUGAGGGAGCAGGAGAAGAUCCCAAGCUUUGAUUUACUGAUAUUGACCUAAAGACUGUCCCUGUGUGCGCUUUCCCUCCCCUCACAGCAACGUCCAAUAUCGACGCAAAGCGGGAAAGCAGGUUAAUUUAUACGCUGGAAUACAUAAACUUGCAGUGACGUCCAAAAGUCUGAGACCACAUUGAAAAACUGAGAUGUUUUGAAUUUAAAC